UCCCUGGUGGGUCCAGUGGUUAAGACUCUGAACUCCCAAGGCAGGGGGCCCAGGUUCGAUCCCUAGUCAGGGAA
This 74-nucleotide transfer RNA is filed under the name Ovis aries (sheep). It matches the Rfam family "tRNA". From Rfam's summary of the family: Transfer RNA (tRNA) molecules are approximately 80 nucleotides in length. Their secondary structure includes four short double-helical elements and three loops (D, anti-codon, and T loops). The record is from Rfam by way of RNAcentral. Lineage: Eukaryota; Metazoa; Chordata; Mammalia; Artiodactyla; Bovidae.